This 517-nucleotide ribosomal RNA is filed under the name uncultured Diversispora. Its description in RNAcentral is "SSU rRNA". It matches the Rfam family "Eukaryotic small subunit ribosomal RNA", at positions 569 to 1084 of the family's 1831-position model. Lineage: Eukaryota; Fungi; Glomeromycota; Glomeromycetes; Diversisporales; Diversisporaceae. The record is from RNAcentral.
AGCAGCCGCGGUAAUUCCAGCUCCAAUAGCGUAUAUUAAAGUUGUUGCAGUUAAAAGCUCGUAGUUGAACUUCGGGGUUCGCCCAUUGGUCAGGCUUAAUUGUCUGUACUGGUGAGAUGAAUCUCUACCUUCUGAGGAACUUUCAUGCCAUUUAUUUGGUGUGAUUGGAAAUCAGGACUGUUACUUUGAAAAAAUUAGAGUGUUUAAAGCAGGCUAACGUCUGAAUACAUUAGCAUGGAAAUAAUGAAAUAGGACGGACUGAUUCUAUUUCGUUGGUUUCUAGGAUCACCGUAAUGAUUAAUAGGGAUAGUUGGGGGCAUUAGUAUUCAAUUGUCAGAGGUGAAAUUCUUGGAUUUAUUGAAGACUAACUACUGCGAAAAGCAUUUGCCAAGGAUGUUUUCAUUAAUCAAGAACGAAGUUAGGGGGAUCGAAUGACGAUCAGAUACCGUCGUAGUCUUAACCAUAAACUAUGCCGACUAGGGAUCGGACGAAGUUAAUUUAUAAUGACGCGUUCGGC